GACGAACGCUGGCGGCGUGCCUAAUACAUGCAAGUCGACCUUAGUGGCGAACGGGUGAGUAACACGUGGGUAACCUGCCCAUCAGAAGGGGAUAACACUUGGAAACAGGUGCUAAUACCGUAUACUGAUGGAUGGACCCGCGGUGCAUUAGCUAGUUGGUGAGGUAACGGCUCACCAAGGCCACGAUGCAUAGCCGACCUGAGAGGGUGAUCGGCCACAUUGGGACUGAGACACGGCCCAAACUCCUACGGGAGGCAGCAGUGGGGAAUAUUGGACAAUGGGCGAAAGCCUGAUCCAGCCAUGCCGCGUGUGUGAAGAAGGUCUUCGGAUUGUAAAGCACUUUAAGUUGGGAGGCGUUACCAACAGAAUAAGCACCGGCUAACUUCGUGCCAGCAGCCGCGGUAAUAC
Molecule: ribosomal RNA, 408 nt
Filed under: uncultured bacterium
Lineage: Bacteria
Description: partial 16S ribosomal RNA
Rfam family: Bacterial small subunit ribosomal RNA
Source: RNAcentral